AAUCAACGCUGGCGGCGUGCCUAACACAUGCAAGUCGAACGAGAAAGUCUGUAGCAAUACAGAUGAGUACAGUGGCGACCGGGUGAGUAACACGUGGAUAACCUACCGUCGAGCGGGGAAUAACCCUGGGAAACCGGGGCUAAUACCGCAUAACACCCAGCGGCUGCGGCCGCGGGGUUAAAACCCGCAAGGGGCUUGAUGAGGGGUCCGCGGCCGAUUAGCUAGUUGGUGAGGUAACGGCCCACCAAGGCUAUGAUCGGUAGCCGGCCUGAGAGGGCGGACGGCCACACUGGAACUGAAACACGGUCCAGACUCCUACGGGAGGCAGCAGUGGGGAAUUUUGCGCAAUGGGGGAAACCCUGACGCAGCAACGCCGCGUGGACGAUGAAGCCCUUUGGGGUGUAAAGUCCUUUCGGCAGGGAAGAAGCCCGGGCAACCGGGUUGACGGUACCUGAAGAAGAAGCCCCGGCCAACUUCGUGCCAGCAGCCGCGGUAAUACGAGGGGGCAAGCGUUGUUCGGAAUCAUUGGGCGUAAAGGGCGCGGUA
Molecule: ribosomal RNA, 546 nt
Filed under: uncultured bacterium
Lineage: Bacteria
Description: bacterial SSU rRNA
Rfam family: Bacterial small subunit ribosomal RNA
Source: RNAcentral